RNAcentral lists this ribosomal RNA (464 nucleotides) under uncultured bacterium. RNAcentral's name for it is "bacterial SSU rRNA". It matches the Rfam family "Bacterial small subunit ribosomal RNA", at positions 917 to 1382 of the family's 1533-position model. The record is from RNAcentral.
GGGCCCGCACAAGCAGUGGAGUAUGUGGUUUAAUUCGAAGCAACGCGAAAAACCUUACCAGGGCUUGACAUAUACAGGAAUAUUUAAGAGAUUAAAUAGCUCUUCGGAGCCUGUAUACAGGUGGUGCAUGGUUGUCGUCAGCUCGUGUCGUGAGAUGUUAGGUUAAGUCCUGCAACGAGCGCAACCCCUAUGAUUAGUUACCAGCGAGUAAUGUCGGGAACUCUAAUCAGACUGCCGGUGAUAAAUCGGAGGAAGGUGGGGAUGACGUCAAAUCAUCAUGCCCUUUAUGUCCUGGGCUACACACGUACUACAAUGGCUGUAACAGAGGGAAGCAAAGCAGUGAUGCUAAGCGGAACCCAAAAAGCAGUCUCAAUUCGGAUUGAAGGCUGAAAUUCGCCUUCAUGAAGCUGGAAUUGCUAGUAAUGGCAGGUCAGCAUACUGCCGUGAAUACGUUCCCGGGCCUU